ACGCUCACAACGCUCACCUGUCAUAGUCAGACAGAUAAGGCCACGGCCGUGAGUAGCCAUAAAGUUAAUCGCUUCUGGCGUGAUGUGCUCAGCGGCCAUAAUAA
This is a non-coding RNA of Vibrio sp., 104 nucleotides long. It matches the Rfam family "Vibrio RNA AS9". From Rfam's summary of the family: Identified by direct cloning an parallel sequencing experiments with 5S/tRNA depletion. Confirmed by Northern blot. The record is from Rfam. NCBI's taxonomy places the organism in Bacteria, Pseudomonadati, Pseudomonadota, Gammaproteobacteria, Vibrionales, Vibrionaceae.